AGAACGAACGCUGGCGGCGUGGAUAAGACAUGCAAGUCGAACGAGAGAAUUGCUAGCUUGCUAAUAAUUCUCUAGUGGCGCACGGGUGAGUAACACGUGAGUAACCUGCCCCCGAGAGCGGGAUAGCCCUGGGAAACUGGGAUUAAUACCGCAUAGUAUCGAAAGAUUAAAGCAGCAAUGCGCUUGGGGAUGGGCUCGCGGCCUAUUAGUUAGUUGGUGAGGUAACGGCUCACCAAGGCGAUGACGGGUAGCCGGUCUGAGAGGAUGUCCGGCCACACUGGAACUGAGACACGGUCCAGACACCUACGGGUGGCAGCAGUCGAGAAUCAUUCACAAUGGGGGAAACCCUGAUGGUGCGACGCCGCGUGGGGGAAUGAAGGUCUUCGGAUUGUAAACCCCUGUCAUGUGGGAGCAAAUUAAAAAGAUAGUACCACAAGAGGAAGAGACGGCUAACUCUGUGCCAGCAGCCGCGGUAAUACAGAGGUCUCAAGCGUUGUUCGGAAUCACUGGGCGUAAAGCGUGCGUAGGCUGUUUCGUAAGUCGUGUGUGAAAGGCGCGGGCUCAACCCGCGGACGGCACAUGAUACUGCGAGACUAGAGUAAUGGAGGGGGAACCGGAAUUCUCGGUGUAGCAGUGAAAUGCGUAGAUAUCGAGAGGAACACUCGUGGCGAAGGCGGGUUCCUGGACAUUAACUGACGCUGAGGCACGAAGGCCAGGGGAGCGAAAGGGAUUAGAUACCCCUGUAGUCCUGGCAGUAAACGGUGCACGCUUGGUGUGCGGGGAAAUCACCCCCCUGCUGCCGGAACUAACCCGUUAACCGUGCCG
This 825-nucleotide ribosomal RNA is filed under the name uncultured bacterium. RNAcentral describes it as "bacterial SSU rRNA". It matches the Rfam family "Bacterial small subunit ribosomal RNA", at positions 26 to 871 of the family's 1533-position model. The record is from RNAcentral.